UUAAUCCUACGGGGGGCAGCAGUGAGGAAUAUUGGUCAAUGGUCGGGAGACUGAACCAGCCAAGCCGCGUGAGGGAUGAAGGUACAGAGUAUCGUAAACCUCUUUUGUCAGGGAACAAAGGCGGGGACGCGUCCCCGGAUGAGUGUACCUGAAGAAAAAGCAUCGGCUAACUCCGUGCCAGCAGCCGCGGUAAUACGGAGGAUGCGAGCGUUAUCCGGAUUUAUUGGGUUUAAAGGGUGCGCAGGCGGAGGUGCAAGUCAGCGGUCAAAUUGCGGGGCUCAACCCCG
This 287-nucleotide ribosomal RNA is filed under the name uncultured bacterium. RNAcentral's name for it is "partial 16S ribosomal RNA". It matches the Rfam family "Bacterial small subunit ribosomal RNA", at positions 333 to 617 of the family's 1533-position model. The record is from RNAcentral.